RNAcentral lists this ribosomal RNA (211 nucleotides) under Phomatospora sp. RNAcentral describes it as "partial large subunit ribosomal RNA". Lineage: Eukaryota; Fungi; Ascomycota; Sordariomycetes; Phomatosporaceae. The record is from RNAcentral.
GGAAGCGCCUGUGACCAGACUCGCGCCCGGCGGAUCAUCCGGCGUUCUCGCCGGUGCACUCCGCCGGGCUCGGGCCAGCAUCGGUUCUCGCGGGGGGAUAAAGGCUUCGGGGAUGUGGCUCCUCCGGGAGUGUUAUAGCCCGUUGCUCAAUGCCCUCGCGGGGACCGAGGACCGCGCAUUGCAAGGAUGCUGGCGUAAUGGUCACCAGCGA